This is an RNA transcript of Salvia splendens (bonfire salvia), 1310 nucleotides long. It is a transcript of the gene named calcineurin subunit B, with no coding region annotated. The record is from RefSeq and is a predicted model, not a curated record. The transcript is spliced from 5 exons. Lineage: Eukaryota; Viridiplantae; Streptophyta; Magnoliopsida; Lamiales; Lamiaceae.
UAAUUAGGAAUUUAAUUAUGAAAAAAUAACUCCGAAAUCAGAUUAUUUUCUCCAAAAUCUUUGGCAAACAAGGCCUACACCUGCCACCCCCAUCUCCUUGAUCCACCCUUUGUUCUGAAUCCAAGUUUCUAAUUUUACACCAAACCUAAUUUAUUAUCGCUCUGGGAUUCUGGAAAGUGGAAUUUGUGAUGGGCAACGGUUCCUCCAUGCUCACUCAGUACGACAUUGAAGGGGUCCAAGAACACUGCAGCAAUACCUUUUCCCAGCAGGAGAUUGUUUCACUGUACGAGAGAUUCUGCCAGCUGGACAGGAGCGGAGGUGGCUUCAUCUCCUCCGAUGAGUUUAUGAAUGUACCUGAAUUUGCCAUGAAUCCCCUUUCUCAGAGACUCUUGAGAAUGCUGGAUGGGCUAAAUUUUAAGGAGUUUGUGUUAUUUCUAUCUGCUUUUAGUUCUCGAGCGAGCUUGCAGCUGAAAGUUGAAUUUAUUUUUAAGGUUUAUGAUUCUGAUGGUAACCAUAAGGUUAGUUUCAAUGAUGUUCUGGACAUAUUGCGUGAUUUGACGGGUCAAUUUAUAGCUGAACAUCAGAGAGAGGUUAGUCUCUCUACUUUAUUCAUCUUUCCCUCUUAUAUAUGGAGUAUUAGUUUUUACUUUCUUUUCUAUAUGUCUAACUUUCUGUUGCUUAUUUGUUCUUUGCCCUGCCGAAGCUGUGGAAAAAUGCAAAUUCCUAUGCUUACAAAAUGACAAAAACUAGAAAAACUGUAGUGAAUAAAUUAACUGAAGCACUCGAUGAAUAUUAAUCUUCUAAAUCAGAACCACCAUGAUUUUUCUUAAUGUUAUUUUUUGCAUGUCACAGCUAUAAUAUAUUGGUUCUACUAUUUUAUGAUUUAAUCCGGCACUUGUAUCAUUUGAUUCAUUUCCCCACAAACAAUUCACACUGCUAAAUAGUAGUAGUACUAUUUAAUGUAGUAAUAUUAUUUUGCCAUCUGCAAGGGGGUCCUUUCCUUGCUUUCUCAUAGUGUUCUGGAUCCUACCGCUAAUUAGUUGCUGAGUUGCGCUAAUAUGAAGUUCUGUAUUGUUAUAAAUAGCGUGUUCUUACCAAAGUUCUUGAGGAAGCAGGCUACAGAAAAGAUUCUGUAUUAGUUCCAGCUGACUUCAUGAAGAUCCUGGGCAGUUCUGUUCUGAAGAUGGAAGUUGAAGUUCCAGUAGAUUAGAGAUGAGAAACGAUAUGUUUAGACAUAUUUGUCCGUUAAACUCAUAUUCGAGACAUUUUUUAUCCUUCAUGUUUUAAGCCACUUAGCUGUUUUUUUUUUC